UUGGCCGUAAACAAAUUAAAUUUACCAGAGUACUAUGAACUAAAAAGUUUAAAACUCAAAGAGCUUGGCGGUGUUUUAGACCUCUCAGGGGAACCUGUCUCAUAAUCGACAAUCCACGCUAUACCUAGCCUUAUUUCGCUUUUACAGUUUGUAUACCGUCGUCGUCAGGUAACUUUUAAAAAUUUAGAAGUUAGCGAAAAAGCUAUAUAAGCUUACACGUCAGAUCAAGGUGCAGCUCAUAUUAAGGUGAGGAUGGGUUACAAUUAUAAAAUCAUAACUACGAAGUAAUUGUAAUAAUAUAUAAUUAUAAGGAGGACUUGAAAGUAAACUAGACUAUAAAAACAUUUUGAAUAAGGCUCUGAAACGUGC
This 369-nucleotide ribosomal RNA is filed under the name Nucella lima. RNAcentral describes it as "partial 12S ribosomal RNA". The record is from RNAcentral. Lineage: Eukaryota; Metazoa; Mollusca; Gastropoda; Neogastropoda; Muricidae.